GAUGAACGCUGGCGGCGUGCCUAAUACAUGCAAGUCGAGCGGAGAGUGGGCGGGUGCGUGACACGUGGGUGACCUCCUCUAAGACUGGGGUUACUUCGGGAAACCGGAACCAAUACGGAAACUUAUAGAUGGUGCCACUUUGCAUUAGCUAGUGGGUAAGGUAACGGCUUACCAAGGCAACGAUGCAUAGCCGACCUGAGAGGGUGACCGGCCACACUGGAACUGAGACACGGUCCAGACUCCUACGGGAGGCAGCAGUAGGGAAUCUUCCGCAAUGGGCGAAAGCCUGACAGAGCAACGCCGCGUGAGUGAUGAAGGUCUUCGGAUCGUAAAACUCUGUUAUUAGGGAAGCGGUACCUAAUCAGAAAGCCACGGCUAACUCCGUGCCAGCAGCCGCGGUAAUAC
RNAcentral lists this ribosomal RNA (405 nucleotides) under uncultured bacterium. RNAcentral's name for it is "partial 16S ribosomal RNA". It matches the Rfam family "Bacterial small subunit ribosomal RNA", at positions 28 to 526 of the family's 1533-position model. The record is from RNAcentral.